This 424-nucleotide ribosomal RNA is filed under the name uncultured Oscillibacter sp. Its description in RNAcentral is "bacterial SSU rRNA". It matches the Rfam family "Bacterial small subunit ribosomal RNA", at positions 338 to 774 of the family's 1533-position model. The record is from RNAcentral. Lineage: Bacteria; Bacillati; Bacillota; Clostridia; Eubacteriales; Oscillospiraceae.
CCUACGGGAGGCAGCAGUGGGGAAUAUUGCACAAUGGGCGGAAGCCUGAUGCAGCGACGCCGCGUGAGGGAUGAAGGCCUUCGGGUUGUAAACCUCUUUCAGCAGGGACGAAGCGUGAGUGACGGUACCUGCAGAAGAAGCACCGGCUAACUACGUGCCAGCAGCCGCGGUAAUACGUAGGGUGCGAGCGUUGUCCGGAAUUACUGGGCGUAAAGAGUUCGUAGGCGGUUUGUCGCGUCGUUUGUGAAAACCCGGGGCUCAACUUCGGGCUUGCAGGCGAUACGGGCAGACUUGAGUGUUUCAGGGGAGACUGGAAUUCCUGGUGUAGCGGUGAAAUGCGCAGAUAUCAGGAGGAACACCGGUGGCGAAGGCGGGUCUCUGGGAAACAACUGACGCUGAGGAACGAAAGCGUGGGUAGCAAACA